This is a long non-coding RNA of Thalassophryne amazonica, 378 nucleotides long. RefSeq lists it as uncharacterized. The record is from RefSeq and is a predicted model, not a curated record. The transcript is spliced from 2 exons. Lineage: Eukaryota; Metazoa; Chordata; Actinopteri; Batrachoidiformes; Batrachoididae.
UACUGGUACCUUGUUUCCCAUGUAACAGUAAGAAAUAUACUCAAAACCUGGAUUAAUCUUUUUAGUCACAUAGCACUACUAUUAUUCUGAACACUACUGUAGGUGACCAAAAUGCCAUCUCAAACAUUUUGCCACCCUGGUUGAUGGUGACCAACCUAUCUGGCCCCUGGACUACAGGCACACAGUACUCUGAGACAAAUGCAUUGUCUGGCAUUUGGUUUGGCAGCUGCGAGAUGUGGCAUGGGUUCAAGACCGAAAGAGGUUAUGGCCUUGAAACAAGAGGGUAUAGAUCAGGGGUUUGAGGUCUCUAACAUCACCAUCAUGAAUGCUCACGAUCCGAGGGACUGUUCUUUAAAAGGUUGUGUGUUUAUACUUUUU